This 977-nucleotide ribosomal RNA is filed under the name uncultured bacterium. RNAcentral describes it as "bacterial SSU rRNA". It matches the Rfam family "Bacterial small subunit ribosomal RNA", at positions 28 to 1009 of the family's 1533-position model. The record is from RNAcentral.
GAUGAACGCUAGCGGCAGGCUUAACACAUGCAAGUCGAGGGGUAGGAGAAGCUUGCUUUUCUGAGACCGGCGCACGGGUGCGUAACGCGUAUGCAAUCUACCUUUCACAGAGGGAUAGCCCAGAGAAAUUUGGAUUAAUACCUCAUAGUAUAAUUGAGUGGCAUCAUUUAAUUAUUAAAGAUUUAUCGGUGAAAGAUGAGCAUGCGUCCCAUUAGCUAGUUGGUAUGGUAACGGCAUACCAAGGCAACGAUGGGUAGGGGUCCUGAGAGGGAGAUCCCCCACACUGGUACUGAGACACGGACCAGACUCCUACGGGAGGCAGCAGUGAGGAAUAUUGGACAAUGGGCGCAAGCCUGAUCCAGCCAUGCCGCGUGCAGGAUGACGGUCCUAUGGAUUGUAAACUGCUUUUAUACAGGAAGAAACACCUCUACGUGUAGAGACUUGACGGUACUGUAAGAAUAAGGAUCGGCUAACUCCGUGCCAGCAGCCGCGGUAAUACGGAGGAUCCAAGCGUUAUCCGGAAUCAUUGGGUUUAAAGGGUCCGUAGGCGGUCAGGUAAGUCAGUGGUGAAAGCCCAUCGCUCAGCGGUGGAACGGCCAUUGAUACUGUCUGACUUGAAUUAUUAGGAAGUAACUAGAAUAUGUAGUGUAGCGGUGAAAUGCUUAGAGAUUACAUGGAAUACCAAUUGCGAAGGCAGGUUACUACUAAUUGAUUGACGCUGAUGGACGAAAGCGUGGGUAGCGAACAGGAUUAGAUACCCUGGUAGUCCACGCCGUAAACGAUGGAUACUAGCUGUUGGGAGCAAUCUCAGUGGCUAAGCGAAAGUGAUAAGUAUCCCACCUGGGGAGUACGAACGCAAGUUUGAAACUCAAAGGAAUUGACGGGGGCCCGCACAAGCGGUGGAGCAUGUGGUUUAAUUCGAUGAUACGCGAGGAACCUUACCAAGGCUUAAAUGUAGAUUGACCGGUUGGAAACAG